UAAUGUUUUGCUUUUGUUUUUAGAGGUUCAUUUUCAGUGACCAAUAUCUUUCACCUUUUCAGGAGACUGUCACACCAAGUGCUGAGCAUUUAAAUGACUUGGGAGAGAAAAACACAUACUUGGAGCUUCAGGGCUGCUCAUAUGGAUUAUUCUGAAGACUACAGGCUGCUGUGAUUGUCUACCAGAAACAAAAGUGCAUCUCUGAAGUGUGAAAGGCUUGGUUAACAUCUGCAGAGCCCACUAAGCUAUGUAUGCUGACUGCAGUGCUGAGGUCUGGUUCUGUCUAUGUGACUAAGGGGUAUCAAGCAGGCUGGGGAAUUGUCCCAUCAACCCUGAUGGAACAGCAGAAGACAGAGAGAUUAUACUUAACAACUUCCAUCAAGAUAACAACGUCAUUGCAAAUUAAUUCCACUCGGUAUGUCCAAGAACAAAGGCAAACUGAACUACAAUUGUGUGCCAUAUCAAUAUGGAGCAUCGAGCGGUGCUGCUGAAAUGGCCUGCCAAAAUGCCUGACCAAUGAAAAGUAAUCUAAACUUGAACCCUAUCAAAAUAAAAGUGGAAUUGAGGAGAAGCCA
RNAcentral lists this long non-coding RNA (575 nucleotides) under Phasianus colchicus (ring-necked pheasant). RNAcentral's name for it is "lncRNA (ENSPCLG00000002633.1)". The record is from RNAcentral. Lineage: Eukaryota; Metazoa; Chordata; Aves; Galliformes; Phasianidae.